This 1007-nucleotide ribosomal RNA is filed under the name uncultured bacterium. Its description in RNAcentral is "partial 16S ribosomal RNA". It matches the Rfam family "Bacterial small subunit ribosomal RNA", at positions 8 to 1028 of the family's 1533-position model. The record is from RNAcentral.
AGAGUUUGAUCAUGGCUCAGGAUGAACGCUGGCGGUGUGCCUAAAACAUGCAAGUCGAGCGCCCCUUUAAGAGUAGAGAACUUUGGUUAUCUAUUUUUAUGGGGAGCGGCGGACGGCUGAGUAACGCGUAGGAACGUACCCCAAAGUGAGGGAUAACCACUCGAAAGAGUGACUAAUACCGCAUAUGGUCUUCGGAUUAAAGCAGCAAUGCGCUAUGGGAACGGCCUGCGUCGGAUUAGGUUGUUGGUGAGGUAAUGGCUCACCAAGCCGACGAUCCGUAGCUGGUCUGAGAGGAUGAUCAGCCAGACUGGAACUGAGACACGGUCCAGACUCCUACGGGAGGCAGCAGUUAGGAAUCUUCCACAAUGGGCGAAAGCCUGAUGGAGCAACACCGCGUGCUGGAUGAAUGCCUUCGGGUUGUAAACAGCUUUUGUAUACGAAGAAUAUGACGGUAAUAUACGAAUAAGGGUCGGCUAACUACGUGCCAGCAGCCGCGGUCAUACGUAGGACCCAAGCGUUAUCCGGAGUGACUGGGCGUAAAGAGUUGCGUAGGCGGCUUGUUAAGUGGAUAGUGAAAGCUGGUGGCUCAACCAUUCAGUCUAUUAUCCAAACUGGCAAGCUUGAGAAUGGUAGAGGUAGUUGGAAUUUCUUGUGUAGGAGUGAAAUCCGUAGAUAUAAGAAGGAACACCAAUGGCGUAGGCAGACUACUGGACCAUUUCUGACGCUGAGGCACGAAAGCGUGGGGAGCGAACCGGAUUAGAUACCCGGGUAGUCCACGCCGUAAACGAUGUCUACUAGUCGUUGGGGAACUUGAUUCCUUAGUGACGCAGCUAACGCAAUAAGUAGACCGCCUGGGGAGUACGGCCGCAAGGUUAAAACUCAAAUGAAUUGACGGGGGCCCGCACAAGCGGUGGAGCAUGUGGUUUAAUUCGAUGCAACGCGAAGAACCUUACCUGGUCUUGACAUAUCUAGAAUCCUGCAGAGAUGCGGGAGUGCCUUCGGGAAUU